UGGCGGACGGGGGAGUAAUGUCUGGGAAACUGCCUGAUGGAGGGGGAUAACUACUGGAAACGGUAGCUAAUACCGCAUAACGUCGCAAGACCAAAGAGGGGGACCUUCGGGCCUCUUGCCAUCGGAUGUGCCCAGAUGGGAUUAGCUAGUAGUGGGGUAACGGCUCACCUAGGCGACGAUCCCUAGCUGGUCUGAGAGGAUGACCAGCCACACUGGAACUGAGACACGGUCCAG
RNAcentral lists this ribosomal RNA (234 nucleotides) under uncultured bacterium. RNAcentral's name for it is "partial 16S ribosomal RNA". It matches the Rfam family "Bacterial small subunit ribosomal RNA", at positions 96 to 334 of the family's 1533-position model. The record is from RNAcentral.